UAUGGAGGCAUAUUGUUUCUUUUCUUGUUAUUUCUAGCCACAUGUAAUGAAACCAUACCUGAAGGUUUUAUUUUGAAAACUGAUUUGGUUGAUUAAGUCAAUAAUACCUGACUAUAAAACUGCCAAAAUUAGCAUUUGUUCGCACCUCCACAGUAUGAAGAAUUGAACAUUUAUGAAUGGAAUAGACUUUAAGCAUGUUUAUUGCCAGUAUUUCUCUAGACUUCAAUUUUGAAGGAGACUGUUAAGCUAUCUGUGUCUACCGUCAAUGGCAUCCAAGGCAAUGUGCUAAACUAACUUUUGCCAGAUUGUUGGUAUAAUUUUUCAUCAUUUCAUUACAUUGGCCAGUAUUAUCUCAAUUCACCUUUAUCCCAGUGAAAUAGCAAGGUACUGAAACUCUUUUAGAGUGUAUUGUCAAGAUGUAUUCUGGAGCUUCAUUGGGGUGAAGUGGUGUCUCAAAUUGUUUUGAAGUGCAUUAUUUUGAGUGGGGCACCUAUAUUUAUGAGCCAUAGGGGGCAAAGCAUAUGCUUGACCUCAAAAUACUAUUUAUUUUAUGGUUGCACUUUCUAGUUACUGCUUUGACCUUCAGUUGAUUCAGACAACAUACUGCAAUUGAAUAAAAAUCAUAGGCAUUGCUUUUUAAUUGGAUAGGUGAUUCCAAUAAAAGUUGCCACGCUUUUCUGCAAGCUUUUCCAAAGGUGUUUAUAUUUCACUGUUAUUUUUUUUUCACUUUACAAUUUUAAUAUUGAGAUAUUAUUGGACAUUAUCCUUAUUUUCCCCCUUGUAUUGUCUUGCCUAUAUUCAAGUAUAGUAGUUAAGAUGGUCCUACUUAAUAUUGUGUUGCACCUUGCAUAAUGAUGCGUAAAACAACUAUAUUUUAUAUGCCUUCACCAUUUAUAGCACAGUCCUGAAACAUCAAAAUUUGCUACCUGUUCAAUUUCAUAUAUUUCUGUCCCCUUAAUAGCAUCUUUUUAAAGUGUGUUGCUCAAAUAAUGAAAUUGGAAGAUUGGAUGAGAUGAGCAACAUCUAUUUAUUAAAUACCGGACAGUAGUUUGUGUUUUAUCUGACUGAUUAUCAUGUAGGGGGGUGAGAUAGAAGGGGAGGAGUCAACUUGUUCAUUCUGCUAAAAUAACUCUAGUUUUAGCUUAGAACUGAAGUUUAUCAUGAAAAAUUGUCUCAAUAUUGUGAACAAAAUCCCAGUGUACCAUGUUCAAUUUUAGGCAUUAGACAUUUCUCGGUUACAUACUUACAUUACAUUACUUUGAAUCUUGAAGCAAAUUUAAGUUUAGGGGUUAAUGAGGCUGUUAGUUGGAGUAUACUUUGUAAUCAUCAGAAGAAAAUCUAGUAACAACAUUUAUAGGCAAAACCAUCAAGAUAAAUUCCUUUCAAAAAAUUCACACUUCUCUGACAGCAUUGCUUCAUUCUCAAAAGCACUCAGAUCCUUUAGAUUAUCAAGUUCCAGUCCUACAUUCUCUCUUGUUGAUCCCAAAAGUGGCAUACACCAAGGAAAGAGUUCUUGUCUGUUCAAAAUGAAGAAGCAAUGCUUAGUAAAUUUUCCUUUAGAUAUAAAAUUGUCUAUUUACUAAACAUUUGCCACUUGUCCAACUAUCAAUUGCUAAAAUUCUUUCUCGAGAUGCUCUCUAAGCAAAUAAGUGUCUUCAGAAGGCACUUUUCUCCUUCAGAUAGCUUUCUGUGGAAAGAAACCAUUCUUUGGUAACAAAUUCCUUUUUUUUAAUUUUUUGUUUUUAUCAGCACCCUGGAAAUUUUCCAAUCCCCUCUUCCUUGAAGAGUUGAAAAAGGAAGAAGUAAAGGAAGUGCUAUGAACUCUUUUCAAGUGUUCAAGUGAUUCUAUUUUGAUUACUAAUGUCUCUUCUUUCU
RNAcentral lists this unclassified non-coding RNA (1875 nucleotides) under Hevea brasiliensis (rubber tree). The record is from RNAcentral. Lineage: Eukaryota; Viridiplantae; Streptophyta; Magnoliopsida; Malpighiales; Euphorbiaceae.